Long non-coding RNA from Dermochelys coriacea (leatherback sea turtle), 287 nucleotides. RefSeq lists it as uncharacterized. The record is from RefSeq and is a predicted model, not a curated record. The transcript is spliced from 2 exons. Lineage: Eukaryota; Metazoa; Chordata; Testudines; Dermochelyidae.
GUUCAGCCGCCAGCACUAUGCAGAAGAUACUCAGCUCUGUAACUCAUUCUCUGUGAAUGAAACCAGGCCACUACUAGGAUGUCAGAGUGCCUACAGGAAAUCACUGCCCGGAUGAGGACCAGCAAGCUCAAGUUAAAUCCAGGCAAGACUGAAGUGACAGUGGAAAAUAGAAGAGAGAGAUUUCAUACUAAUUGAUUUUAAUGGACUGUGAGCUACUGAAAUAUUUAGAGUCAGUUGUAUUAAAAGCAAAAUAUGCUUGCUAAUGGAAUAAAGAGAUAGCUGGUAAA